RNAcentral lists this long non-coding RNA (3191 nucleotides) under Mytilus galloprovincialis (Mediterranean mussel). The record is from RNAcentral. Lineage: Eukaryota; Metazoa; Mollusca; Bivalvia; Mytilida; Mytilidae.
CGACAGACGAAGGCAUUUUACCAAAAAAAGUACGCCGAUUUAAGUCUCUUCGUCUUAUCGUGAUGCAGAAAUAAUGUGUGCAGUUUGGAUGCAACUGGUUGUCAAAUAUGUUGUACCGGCAUAGGAAGAUUAGUUGAUAGAAGGAAUGUAAACACAUCACGCACUUGUCCUUUUCAUCUGGCGAUCUGCUCUGGGAGACGAUUUGAAUGGAUCGUUCAUUUUUAUGUUUUAAAGUUCUGUAUUCAUAUGUUAAGUGUAUAUCUGGAUGGAAUUGAACCGACUUCCUUAUGGUUCCUAUUACAUGGAGAACCUAGUAAACCAAAGGCCAAGCUGAUGCCAAGCUUCAGUGUAAAACUUUGAGCAGGUGCCAGGUAAUUUGCAUUUACAAAUCCAAACAUUUUAAAACUUGAGUUGGACAACAUUGUCAUGUUAAUUAUGCCCCAACAGCUUGUUGGCAAAACAGCCGUUCAUUGAAUUAUGCCCCACGACACCAGCAUUGUCUGUCUGGCAAAACAGAAAAUCAUGCUGUUAGAUGUCAUAGUAAUCUAAACUAGAUACAUGUAUGAAAAAAAUGAUUAUUUAAAAAAUAAUCCAGGUCUGUCAGUUUAUAUGUUUGUAAUAAUUUAGGAACAAACACCCAAGUCAAGGCAAAAAACAAAUACAAACAUAUUGAUAACAAUUGCAAGAAAGCAUUAAACAAAAGUGCAGUAGAACUAAAUAGGAAAACAUGCAUGCUAUCAGACAAUUGAGGGAUUCAAGCCAAGGCUACCCUUCAACAUGUUCAAAAGUUGAAUUGCCAUGGUACACAUACAAUGUACAUGUAUGAUCAUCAUGUAGCAUGAACCAUCAAUGGCUGUUAAACUUGUCACAUUGACACAGACACUGCCACAACACUAAUUAAUUGAUACAUGUAUAUACUAGCAUGACUAUAGUAAUAUAUAUUUGAUAAUAUCCAUCUAAAAAUCAUCUGAUAAUUUAAUCAGUAUUUGAUUAAAAGUCAAAUGCUCAUGUACAUGAUGUAGGAUACAAAGAAACAUAAAUAAAGAGCAAACAAACAAAUGUACAUGUAUAUAUCUGGGAGUUUUUUCUGUUUAAUUUCUAUGAAUGUAAGAAGAAGUUGAUACUUUACAUGUACAAAACAAUGUACGUGUACUUCCCAUUUUAAUCUGAUAUCCAUACUAUAAUUAAUUUUUUUUUAUACAAUAACUAGUCGAAAAAUUUAAAUACAGACAAAUAUUCAACGACUGAGCGAAUAAGACACAAGUUCACCAAGGUGCAUUGUCCCUGAGUAAAUUUUCAGCGUUGUAAGGUCACACAAGUUGUAAAGCUUUUCAAUAUUUGAAUUCUUUGAUUAUUUAUUCUUUUUAUUACAUCAUGUACAUGUACAUUGGCAAAUAGCAUUUUUACAACAAAUAUUAUUCAUUUAUAAAAUGUAUGUGUUUUUUAAUAUAUGUCCAGUUUUCACUUUAUUAUAUUUGGUAAGAAAAUUUGUAUUAUAAACUAACAAACAUCAUUUGUACAUACAUACAUGUACAAAUGAUGUACAUGUACAUUGUACUGCUACAUAUAUACAUUCCUUAUCUAUGUGCUAUCAAAAUGAAGAACAUUUUUGUAACAGAAAUUAUAUAUUUCAUUUUUUAGAGAAACCAUCCUUGUUAAAGAUGUGACAUUAAUCCCUCCAAACCUACAAAACACAAUUGAUAAGGUAAGUUGCAGAUUAUCUGAGAUAUUUUUGAUUAUCAUCCCAAGAAAUGUAGCAUACAUGUAUUACUCUUCUUUCAUUUAUAUGAUAAUGAAGAUACAUGUAUCUUGUAAUUUGUACAGUUGUAUAUGUAUUUCUGCCAUCUGUCACUGUUAAUUUAAAUGUACAUUAGGGGUCAGUAAAUAAUCAAAACAUGAUACAUGUAUAAAGACUAAUGGUGUGUAUUUUCAUUAAAUAAUACACAGGUUUUUUUUUUGUGUUCAGAUUGAUAGCAAUUUUGUUGUCAAUUGUUGUAGUGUCAUAAUAAACUGUCAUUGUCUAAAUGAAUGAAAUAAAUGGUUGUACCUAAAAUUAUUUGAAACAUGUCUGAACUUAACUUAUAUAUAGAUACAAUUUACAUUGUAUUAUAACCAAUUUUUAUUUACAUUUGUAUAUCUAUAUGUACAUGUACAUGAUCAAUGUAUCAAUGAUGACAAGGAACUUUUUAUUUAAAUUUCAGAGAUGCUAAUUAACCUUGUUAAUGACUGUGGAGAACUUAUGCUACAUUUACCUAAUACACAGACAAACACAGAUGGGCAUAGGUAAUAAAUAGAGCAGUUUUCUAAGAUACAUGUUCAUGUUUAUUGUUAUAUCAUGUAUAUUAUGCCUUGUCUUUAAAAAAUAUAGAUAUGAAACAUGAACACAUAUGUACAUGUUCCAUGUUUACAUGUAUUAGAGAGUUAUCUAACCUGUUUAAAAGCUGAUAACUACUUAGUACUAUCAAAAUUUUAGUCUAUUUGUUUCUCUAUUUGUCCAUGAUUUAUCUUAUAAUGGAUAGAGUUUGAAAAUUAAAUCUAUAAAGUUGGAUAAAAUAUUCAUAAUGCUUGCAUUGGUACAAAGCCAUUUUGAAAAUAAGAAGAUGUGGUAUGAUUGCCAAUAUGAAAACUCUCCCCAAUACAUGUACUUCACAUGACAUAUAAAGGAACCACUUUAAGUCACCAUACAACCUUACACAAUAAGACAAACCCAUACUACAUAAUCAGCUAUAAAUUUAAACAAUUCAAAGGAGAAGACUAAAUACAACUACUGAAUUAUUGGUUAUACAGCAUUAAAAUACAACUACUGAAUUACUGGUUCCUGACUUGGGACAGGCACAUACAGAAUGUGGCAGGGAUAAACUAGAUUGAACUUUAUUAAAAAAUUACCCAUUAUCAAACUAAAAAUGCCUAUUACUAAGUGAACUCAGAUUACUCUGCUGUUUACAUAUUUGUUAAACUAUAAUUUGCUUCUUGUAGAAAUUAGCCUGUGAGAUCAAGAUGCAGAUAUAUCCACCAGAUACCAAAUGCCACACCAAAGCAGACAUUUUCAAAUGUUGAGAGACCUAUGAAUACAUCUACAUCCUUCUUCGGACUUUGAAACAACUGAUUGAGUAUGUUAGCUAACAUUUAAUCAAUUAUGUUUGAACAGUGCUACACAACAGCCUGGGUGGAUUUUGCUUUUUCCACCGGCC